This 3092-nucleotide ribosomal RNA is filed under the name Salmonella enterica subsp. enterica. Its description in RNAcentral is "bacterial LSU rRNA". It matches the Rfam family "Bacterial large subunit ribosomal RNA". Lineage: Bacteria; Pseudomonadati; Pseudomonadota; Gammaproteobacteria; Enterobacterales; Enterobacteriaceae. The record is from RNAcentral.
UUAAGCGACUAAGCGUACACGGUGGAUGCCCUGGCAGUCAGAGGCGAUGAAGGGCGUGCUAAUCUGCGAUAAGCGCCGGUAAGGUGAUAUGAACCGUUAUAACCGGCGAUACCCGAAUGGGGAAACCCAGUGUGAUUCGUCACACUAUCAUUAACUGAAUCCAUAGGUUAAUGAGGCGAACCGGGGGAACUGAAACAUCUAAGUACCCCGAGGAAAAGAAAUCAACCGAGAUUCCCCCAGUAGCGGCGAGCGAACGGGGAGGAGCCCAGAGCCUGAAUCAGCAUGUGUGUUAGUGGAAGCGUCUGGAAAGGCGCGCGAUACAGGGUGACAGCCCCGUACACAAAAGCGCAUGUGCUGUGAGCUCGAUGAGUAGGGCGGGACACGUGGUAUCCUGUCUGAAUAUGGGGGGGACCAUCCUCCAAGGCUAAAUACUCCUGACUGACCGAUAGUGAACCAGUACCGUGAGGGAAAGGCGAAAAGAACCCCGGCGAGGGGAGUGAAAAAGAACCUGAAACCGUGUACGUACAAGCAGUGGGAGCCCCACCACCAAAGCAUUCUCUGGUGUUGAAGGCCCUGCAAAGCAGCAUCGCGGUGGCGGAGCGUCGUUUGCGACGCCCAACACACAAAACAAGCGGUGAGUGCUUUGGGGUGGGGUGACUGCGUACCUUUUGUAUAAUGGGUCAGCGACUUAUAUUCUGUAGCAAGGUUAACCGUAUAGGGGAGCCGGAGGGAAACCGAGUCUUAACCGGGCGUUAAGUUGCAGGGUAUAGACCCGAAACCCGGUGAUCUAGCCAUGGGCAGGUUGAAGGUUGGGUAACACUAACUGGAGGACCGAACCGACUAAUGUUGAAAAAUUAGCGGAUGACCUGUGGCUGGGGGUGAAAGGCCAAUCAAACCGGGAGAUAGCUGGUUCUCCCCGAAAGCUAUUUAGGUAGCGCCUCGUGAAUUCAUCUCCGGGGGUAGAGCACUGUUUCGGCUAGGGGGCCAUCCCGGCUUACCAACCCGAUGCAAACUGCGAAUACCGGAGAAUGUUAUCACGGGAGACACACGGCGGGUGCUAACGUCCGUCGUGAAGAGGGAAACAACCCAGACCGCCAGCUAAGGUCCCAAAGUCAUGGUUAAGUGGGAAACGAUGUGGGAAGGCCCAGACAGCCAGGAUGUUGGCUUAGAAGCAGCCAUCAUUUAAAGAAAGCGUAAUAGCUCACUGGUCGAGUCGGCCUGCGCGGAAGAUGUAACGGGGCUAAACCAUGCACCGAAGCUGCGGCAGCGAACGUAUCACCCAAGACAACUUUACGGAGUUGACGAUUGACGGAGCGAAGCGACGUCAAAGCGUUCAUUAAAGUCGAGUUGGCUUAGGGAUACGUUCGUUGGGUAGGGGAGCGUUCUGUAAGCCUGUGAAGGUGGCCUGUGAGGGUUGCUGGAGGUAUCAGAAGUGCGAAUGCUGACAUAAGUAACGAUAAAGCGGGUGAAAAGCCCGCUCGCCGGAAGACCAAGGGUUCCUGUCCAACGUUAAUCGGGGCAGGGUGAGUCGACCCCUAAGGCGAGGCCGAAAGGCGUAGUCGAUGGGAAACGGGUUAAUAUUCCCGUACUUGGUGUUACUGCGAAGGGGGGACGGAGAAGGCUAUGUUGGCCGGGCGACGGUUGUCCCGGUUUAAGCGUGUAGGUGUGUGUUCCAGGUAAAUCCGGUUCACUUUAACACUGAGGCGUGAUGACGAGGCACUACGGUGCUGAAGCAACAAAUGCCCUGCUUCCAGGAAAAGCCUCUAAGCAUCAGGUAACACGAAAUCGUACCCCAAACCGACACAGGUGGUCAGGUAGAGAAUACCAAGGCGCUUGAGAGAACUCGGGUGAAGGAACUAGGCAAAAUGGUGCCGUAACUUCGGGAGAAGGCACGCUGAUGGUAGGUGAAGCGACUUGCUCGUGGAGCUGAAAUCAGUCGAAGAUACCAGCUGGCUGCAACUGUUUAUUAAAAACACAGCACUGUGCAAACACGAAAGUGGACGUAUACGGUGUGACGCCUGCCCGGUGCCGGAAGGUUAAUUGAUGGGGUUAUCCGUAAGGAGAAGCUCUUGAUCGAAGCCCCGGUAAACGGCGGCCGUAACUAUAACGGUCCUAAGGUAGCGAAAUUCCUUGUCGGGUAAGUUCCGACCUGCACGAAUGGCGUAAUGAUGGCCAGGCUGUCUCCACCCGAGACUCAGUGAAAUUGAACUCGCUGUGAAGAUGCAGUGUACCCGCGGCAAGACGGAAAGACCCCGUGAACCUUUACUAUAGCUUGACACUGAACACUGGUCCUUGAUGUGUAGGAUAGGUGGGAGGCUUUGAAGUGUGGACGCCAGUUCGCAUGGAGCCAACCUUGAAAUACCACCCUUUAAUGGCUGGUGUUCUAACGUAGACCCGUAAUCCGGGUUGCGGACAGUGUCUGGUGGGUAGUUUGACUGGGGCGGUCUCCUCCCAAAGAGUAACGGAGGAGCACGAAGGUUAGCUAAUCCUGGUCGGACAUCAGGAGGUUAGUGCAAAGGCAUAAGCUAGCUUGACUGCGAGAGUGACGGCUCGGGCAGGUGCGAAAGCAGGUCUUAGUGAUCCGGUGGUUCUGUAUGGAAGGGCCAUCGCUCAACGGAUAAAAGGUACUCCGGGGAUAACAGGCUGAUACCGCCCAAGAGUUCAUAUCGACGGCGGUGUUUGGCACCUCGAUGUCGGCUCAUCACAUCCUGGGGCUGAAGUAGGUCCCAAGGGUAUGGCUGUUCGCCAUUUAAAGUGGUACGCGAGCUGGGUUUAGAACGUCGUGAGACAGUUCGGUCCCUAUCUGCCGUGGGCGCUGGAGAACUGAGGGGGGCUGCUCCUAGUACGAGAGGACCGGAGUGGACGCAUCACUGGUGUUCGGGUUGUCAUGCCAAUGGCACUGCCCGGUAGCUAAAUGCGGAAGAGAUAAGUGCUGAAAGCAUCUAAGCACGAAACUUGCCCCGAGAUGAGUUCUCCCUGAGACUUUAGGUCUCCUGAAGGAACGUUGAAGACGACGACGUUGAUAGGCCGGGUGUGUAAGCGCAGCGAUGCGUUGAGCUAACCGGUACUAAUGAACCGUGAGGCUUAACCUU